CCGAAAAUACACUGGAUACUUUCUCAUGCAUGUAAGUUCCAAAACUUCAAUUUUAUUGAGGAGUAAGAUACGUGCUUGGGAUUUCGAUACUGACAGCACAAUUGAUAUUUCUUCAAUAUCGGUCUCCUCUUGUUGAAGUAUAUUAACCUCAUUAAAUAUUGUAAAUUUGGUAAGAUCUUUUGAUUUAUCUUCUUUGAUAUCACCAGUGUCUGCUAGAUCAUAGAUGUGGUUGUUGUGCUGGUAGUAUCAAAGAAGAUAAAUCAGAGGAUCUAACCAAAUUUACAAUAUUUAAAGAGGUUGAUAUACUCCAGCAAAUGGAGACCGACAUUGAAGCAAUACUAUUGUGCUGUCAGUAUUGAAAUCUCAGGAAAGUAUCUUGCUCCUCAACAUGGCUGGAGCACUAAUAAAGUGUACGAUAAAUGGUUUUCUAAUGAAUGCAAGGUUCGUGAGAGGACCAGUUAGUUAAUUGAGAAUCUACCAAAAGUUUCGUUAGUCUUAUUAAUUACAGAAUCUGCUUUGGAUCUUAUAGUCAUGAUAAGAUUCAAUCGGCUUCUUGUGGCCAUGGCCAUUAGUGGUUGUUUGGGGCUAAGGUGUCCAGAGCCAUCUUGCAGCACAAUUGUCUGCCAGGACAUGGGUUUUUGGGUUGCCCACUUAGGUGGAAAAGGAAAAAUAUCUUGGUUACGUUGUUCAAUUUUAUGUACAAAAAAGGAAUGAUAUUUUAAAGUGAUGUCCCAUUCCAGACUGCAAACGUGCAAUCGUUCUAGCAGUGGUACGGAGUAAUGGGAUUCAUGAUGUAUUAUGUGCAUGUUACCACAAAUUAUGACACUGUGAAUCAAUGGAUGUUGAAGAACGAGUGAGAUGGAGGUAACAUGAAGAGUUUUUACUGAAUAUUAUGCAAGCUGAUUUUUUAAGAGUAUAUGAAAAUGUCUCCACACUGUGUCGAUAAUGUCGUGAUUGUUGGAUCCUAAAUUUUGAGGAAUUUUUUUUAAUGAAAGAGUUUGUUGUACAGCUAAGCUAGCUUUUUUUUUUUCUGGCAUUUUCCCAGAAAAUACAAUAUGUUGGACCUUCUGUUCUCCAAUGAGUUGUAAAGAAAUCAAGUAAUUGUAUGUGUAGCUCUUUUUCUCAACCAAGGGGGUUUGGCCCUUGCCUCUUUUUGUCCACUGCUGUAAUAUAGUUGUCUAAUUGUAUUAUAUGUACAGAUAGCAAGUAGAAAGAAACACUGGGAAAUCAGUGAGUUAAAAAACUUGUCCGGACAUAAAAGUAUGAAGAUGGAGAUGUGUAGCUUGAUUUUCUUCCUUGUGUUAAUCUCCUUCUGAAUGGAGGGUAAAUGGAAUUUCGAACUUUUGGAAUUAAUGGAUUCCUCUUUGAUGAACUUCUAGUUUGGUUGUCUAUUUUUUGUAGACCGGAAUUUGAUUAUGUUAGUUGAAAUCAUUGUUUCUAGGAUAAGAGUGUCAAAGAAAUAGCGAGGAUGGAAUGUUAAUGACAAAAUCCCUCAAAAUCUAUUUGACGCGAUUUCAGAUAAUUAUUUAUGCGUUGUUUCAAAUAAUUUAAAUUGUUCUAUGUGUUGAAUAUUUUCUUUUUAGGUUUGUUGAUGAUUUAGCUUUAGGGAUUGUUUCAGAUAAUGAUCGAGAAAGAUAAUUUUGACUGAAAAAUAUUAAUUAUGUCGAGUUCUAAAAAAGUUAAUUCUUCGGAUUUAUUUAUUUUUUAAUUCAAAUUUCAAAAUUUGUUAUAUGAAAUAUAAAUAUUCUCAAACGAAUUAUUUAUUUAUUUUUUAUAAAUUUUUAAUACAUAAAUUAAAUUUUCGAACUUUAAAAUUUAAAUGUUAUUUUAUCUCUAUUUAAAAUUUAUUUAUCGGUAAAAUAAGAGUAGUAGAUGUCCAAACCAAGAACAAUUUUUUUUUAUUCAUUUGAAACUCAAAAUCUUUUAUUCUUCAAAAAAGUUGUAAUAUAUAAACUGAAUUGUCAAGGAAUUUAUGAUGAGUUUUGAUAUUUUUGAGAAAUGGUUUGUAUUAUAGGAGAUAAAUAAUAUUUUUAAUGAUUAUAUUUAAAAAUAAAAUUAUUUACUAAUUUUAUAUUUUUUAAGUUAGUAAAACAUUACCUCAUUAUAAAAUAAGUAAUAUAGUUAAAUUUUUAUUAUUUUUAUAAAAAAAUUUUGUAUUAUUAGAAUAAUAUUUUUUAAAAAAUAAUAUUAUUUAAAUGAUUAAAAUAAUUAAAAUUUUAUGUUAUCUAAUUUUUUUUAUUAUUUCAAAGUUUAUUAUUAAUUUAUAAUAUUAUUAACUAAAUGUAACAUCAUAUUUUAUAUUGAAAUAUUUUACAACAAGUUUUAUUAAUCACUUUAUUGUUCUUCACUUAAAGUAAUUUUUGUUAAAACUCAUUUUUAAAUUACAUUUUUCCCUACAUCGAAAGUAUAAGUAUGAGUACCCAAGUGUUCAUGUUUAUGUCAUUAACAUACAUAAUUAUUAUUGUCUUAUACCAACUUUUACUUCCUCUAUGUUGUUUUAGAAUUGGAAAAUUCAAUACUUUGUUGACUUAAUUUUAGUGUUUUGAUAUUUUCCGAGUAAAAGAUAUCAUAUGCUUAUUAGCUCUACUUUUAGAUAUUAUUAUUUUUCGUGUAGAAUGCUUAUAAGCAUUAUUGAACUUUUAUACGAAUGUAAUGCUUUAACAAGUUAAAUAAAAAUCAACAUUGUUUCGUGAUAUUUUUAGUUGGUGUAAAUUUUUCUAGUUAAAAAAAAAAAUAACUUCAUCUCAACUAGUUUCACUUUUAGUGUUUACCUAGUUGCAUAAAAAACUCAAUAAAUUUCUGAAGAAUCCGUGUUUAGAGAAUGAAGACAAUUGACUUUUGAUAUUAAGAAAAUAACUUGUUAACUCUUUAAUAGUCUUUUUCAUUUUUUUUUUUUGAGAGUUUAGAUUAGUGAAAUUAUCAUAUAUAUUUGAAGAAAAUCGAGAUAAAAACGAGAGUAACUUAAUAGGUUAAUAAAAAUUUAGUCUUAUGAUGGAAGUAACGAUUACUCUCUUAAACAGAUUUAUUAAUAGUUUUUGACAUCUCUUUCUCUUUGAGAUACAAUUUUUUAUUUUUUAUUUUUUAAUUUUUGAACAUCAUCGAUACGUCUAAUGUUUUAGCAUUUUAAACAUAUUUCAAAUUAGUUAUUGUUGGUUAAUCAACUGUUUUUAUCAAAAUAAAAACAUUCAAUAACUGUGAAUGGAUAUAAAUAAAUGAAGAUUUAUUUAUAUAAUAAUUCUUUAAUUAGUUACAAGAAAUUUUAUGAUUAUUACCGCAUAUAACCACUAUUUGAUGAUAUUUAACAACUGAUCUUUAUUUAAUAAUAAUCGAUCUUAUUAUAAUAAUCAAAAAAAUUCUUUAAGAGUUUGUGUGGUAAAUAUGCUCAUUUAUUCAAUGAUCAUUUUUUGUUAUAUUAUAAUAUAGUACAUUUAAGAAAUAAAUGGAUAUAGUCAUUUUAAAUUAUAUUAAAUUAUUAUUAUUUUUAAAAUAUCAAGUUAAAUUAAAUAUUAAAAUAAGCAGACAAAUUAGACAGAAAAUUAUUGGCCUCUCAAACAACUCCACUACUUGCAAAUGCAGAUUCUGAAUUUUCUCCACUGAAUGCAUUCUUCUUUCUCUUUGAUCUGCUUCAAUGAGGCCUUGUUGGGGAUGGUCCUUCUAUUAACUAUGUAGAUAUUCAAGUUGGAGAAGUUUACAGGAACCAAAUGAGUACAGAUGUUCUUAGUUUCAUUGCUUUUAAGUUGCUGACUGAACUCUAUAAUGUUACUGUAGUAGCUGUGGAUAAUUUGUUUCAUGAAGUAUAUGCUUUUUCUAUUUCUUCUACUUAUUGAUUGUUCCCUUUUUUCUCUAAUUACUUGAUUUCUCUAAUGCAUAUCUUACCUUUCCUUUUAAAAAAUACAAGUAACCUAAAACAUUCUUUAGUGUUGAAUGCAGCUUGUCGUCUACGAAGGCCAGUGAUUCAUGGACAUAUUCAAAUGCGAUCACUUUAAAACAUGAGCAAUGUAUAUCUGUCUAUUUGGCCAUCCAAGAAACAUAUACAGAUGAUUAUGGUCCUCCUCUGUAGAAUGCUGAAUGUAUGUAGCAGUUCUUUGGUUGUCACUUUUAGUUAUUAUAUCCUAAGCAAAGGAGUAUACGAUCUUUCAAAACUAAUUUAUCCAUAUUGUGGUUAUAUUUGGUUCUUCUAGGAGAAUAUAUGGUAAAUUCUUACCUUUGUCUUUUUUUUAUAUAUAAAAAGUGUGAAAAAGUACCGGUUUAAAAGUAUUAUAUCUCGAAACAUUUAGUAAGUUCACUACUCAAUUCUGACGUUUGUUUAUUUUAUGAAAAAUAAUAUUACAUUGUAGAUAUUUUUUUCUUAAAAAAAUGAUACUUUUUACUUAGUGUGUAUCGAUUAAAGCUUGUAGGUGUAAUAUUACUUUAAUGCAAUUAUUGUUAUAUGUUCUCAGUUGUUAAUAUUGGUUGUGACAAGUAGUUAAACAUUUAUUCUAGUUCAAAUUUAGGGUUAGGUUUAGUCGCAAUUUGCAUGACCAACGUACAUUGCGGGAAAACAUCCAUUGAUGGAAAAAUAGAUUAUCAUUUAUAAACGUUAUACCGUAACCAUGAUCAUGCACACUUUAUGUGACUCUAUCGCUGAUGCAAUCUGAAGUCUUUUAUUAUAAAUGUUCAUCAAAAUUCUUGCAUCCAUUUCUCUUUGAAAUCUCAAAGGAGCGUGUCUUAUACAUACAUGCUGAAAAGUAUGCAUGUAUGUUAAUAUGAUCUUUGGUCUAGUUUAUUUAUAUAAAAAAAUGAUUUUUCCCUAGUCAAGCUUCUAAAUAUUUCAACCCUUAAAACGAAAUUUCAUCUUACCAUUAUUGUUGGUAAAUGAUUGAGACCAGUCUUCGAUCAAUAAGUUUUUACCACAUAUAUUCAGGAAAAAUUUUAUGGUACUAUAAAUUUAAGAACUUGUCCUCUAUAUAUCGUGAAGUUUUUCAUGUUGGAGGUGUAAUCACUCUGUUGCUUUGGAAAUGUUUCAUGUAACUAAAUUUCUUUCUGAUGAAUGGUUUAUGAUGGUAAAUCAUUCCUAACUUCAUGCAAAUCUCUUUUUUCCUUGUCUUUUGACUUACGGAAUAAUAUAUUAUCAUGUUAGAUUUCUGCGUCGCAGUUUCUUUUUUCUAAAUCCAACAAUCAUUUGACAUGUGCAAAUUGAAUUUUAUUUUUACAUACAGGUGCCUCCACCUAUCUAUUUGGUCAAUGGUGAACCAAGAGAUACGUCCAUAGCCCAAUAGUACCGAAAAUGCACUGGAUACUUUUUCAUGCAUUUAAAUUCUAGAACUUCAAUUUUAUUGAGGAGUAAGAUACAUGGCUGAGAUUUUGAUACUAACAGCACAAUAGAUAUUUCUUUAAUAUCGGUUUCCUCUUGUUGAAGUAUAUCAACCUCAUUAAAUAUUGUAAAUUUGGUAAGAUCUUUUGAUUUAUCUUCUUUGAUAUCACCAGUAUCCGCUAGAUCAUAGAUGUGGCUGUUGUGUUGGUGAUAUCAAAGAAAAUAA
Molecule: long non-coding RNA, 5519 nt
Filed under: Carica papaya (papaya)
Lineage: Eukaryota; Viridiplantae; Streptophyta; Magnoliopsida; Brassicales; Caricaceae
Description: long non-coding RNA (CPAP_LNC010529)
Source: RNAcentral